This 508-nucleotide ribosomal RNA is filed under the name uncultured bacterium. RNAcentral's name for it is "bacterial SSU rRNA". It matches the Rfam family "Bacterial small subunit ribosomal RNA", at positions 195 to 701 of the family's 1533-position model. The record is from RNAcentral.
ACUAUACAUAAGCUGGCGCUUGGAGAUGAGCCUGCGGCCCAUCAGCUAGUUGUAGGGUAAUGGCCUACCAAGGCGUAGACGGGUAGCUGGUCUGAGAGGAUGAUCAGCCACACUGGAACUGAGACACGGUCCAGACUCCUACGGGAGGCAGCAGUGGGGAAUCUUGCGCAAUGGGCGAAAGCCUGACGCAGCGACGCCGCGUGAGUGAUGAAGGCCUUCGGGUUGUAAAGCUCUGUGGAGGGGGAAGAAUAAGGGUGACCCAACACGUCGCCCGAUGACGGUACCCCUUUUAGCAAGCACCGGCUAACUCUGUGCCAGCAGCCGCGGUAAGACAGAGGGUGCAAACGUUGUUCGGAAUUACUGGGCGUAAAGCGCGUGUAGGCGGCUUGGCAAGUCGGGUGUGAAAGCCCUGGGCUCAACCUAGGAAGUGCACUCGAAACUGCUUCGCUCGAGUAUCGGAGAGGAAAGCGGAAUUCUCGGUGUAGAGGUGAAAUUCGUAGAUAUCGAG